RNAcentral lists this ribosomal RNA (1946 nucleotides) under Escherichia coli 1-182-04_S4_C3. RNAcentral's name for it is "bacterial LSU rRNA". It matches the Rfam family "Bacterial large subunit ribosomal RNA", at positions 38 to 2010 of the family's 2925-position model. Lineage: Bacteria; Pseudomonadati; Pseudomonadota; Gammaproteobacteria; Enterobacterales; Enterobacteriaceae. The record is from RNAcentral.
AGUCAGAGGCGAUGAAGGACGUGCUAAUCUGCGAUAAGCGUCGGUAAGGUGAUAUGAACCGUUAUAACCGGCGAUUUCCGAAUGGGGAAACCCAGUGUGUUUCGACACACUAUCAUUAACUGAAUCCAUAGGUUAAUGAGGCGAACCGGGGGAACUGAAACAUCUAAGUACCCCGAGGAAAAGAAAUCAACCGAGAUUCCCCCAGUAGCGGCGAGCGAACGGGGAGCAGCCCAGAGCCUGAAUCAGUGUGUGUGUUAGUGGAAGCGUCUGGAAAGGCGCGCGAUACAGGGUGACAGCCCCGUACACAAAAAUGCACAUGCUGUGAGCUCGAUGAGUAGGGCGGGACACGUGGUAUCCUGUCUGAAUAUGGGGGGACCAUCCUCCAAGGCUAAAUACUCCUGACUGACCGAUAGUGAACCAGUACCGUGAGGGAAAGGCGAAAAGAACCCCGGCGAGGGGAGUGAAAAAGAACCUGAAACCGUGUACGUACAAGCAGUGGGAGCACGCUUAGGCGUGUGACUGCGUACCUUUUGUAUAAUGGGUCAGCGACUUAUAUUCUGUAGCAAGGUUAACCGAAUAGGGGAGCCGAAGGGAAACCGAGUCUUAACUGGGCGUUAAGUUGCAGGGUAUAGACCCGAAACCCGGUGAUCUAGCCAUGGGCAGGUUGAAGGUUGGGUAACACUAACUGGAGGACCGAACCGACUAAUGUUGAAAAAUUAGCGGAUGACUUGUGGCUGGGGGUGAAAGGCCAAUCAAACCGGGAGAUAGCUGGUUCUCCCCGAAAGCUAUUUAGGUAGCGCCUCGUGAAUUCAUCUCCGGGGGUAGAGCACUGUUUCGGCAAGGGGGUCAUCCCGACUUACCAACCCGAUGCAAACUGCGAAUACCGGAGAAUGUUAUCACGGGAGACACACGGCGGGUGCUAACGUCCGUCGUGAAGAGGGAAACAACCCAGACCGCCAGCUAAGGUCCCAAAGUCAUGGUUAAGUGGGAAACGAUGUGGGAAGGCCCAGACAGCCAGGAUGUUGGCUUAGAAGCAGCCAUCAUUUAAAGAAAGCGUAAUAGCUCACUGGUCGAGUCGGCCUGCGCGGAAGAUGUAACGGGGCUAAACCAUGCACCGAAGCUGCGGCAGCGACACUAUGUGUUGUUGGGUAGGGGAGCGUUCUGUAAGCCUGUGAAGGUGUACUGUGAGGUAUGCUGGAGGUAUCAGAAGUGCGAAUGCUGACAUAAGUAACGAUAAAGCGGGUGAAAAGCCCGCUCGCCGGAAGACCAAGGGUUCCUGUCCAACGUUAAUCGGGGCAGGGUGAGUCGACCCCUAAGGCGAGGCCGAAAGGCGUAGUCGAUGGGAAACAGGUUAAUAUUCCUGUACUUGGUGUUACUGCGAAGGGGGGACGGAGAAGGCUAUGUUGGCCGGGCGACGGUUGUCCCGGUUUAAGCGUGUAGGCUGGUUUUCCAGGCAAAUCCGGAAAAUCAAGGCUGAGGCGUGAUGACGAGGCACUACGGUGCUGAAGCAACAAAUGCCCUGCUUCCAGGAAAAGCCUCUAAGCAUCAGGUAACAUCAAAUCGUACCCCAAACCGACACAGGUGGUCAGGUAGAGAAUACCAAGGCGCUUGAGAGAACUCGGGUGAAGGAACUAGGCAAAAUGGUGCCGUAACUUCGGGAGAAGGCACGCUGAUAUGUAGGUGAAGUCCCUCGCGGAUGGAGCUGAAAUCAGUCGAAGAUACCAGCUGGCUGCAACUGUUUAUUAAAAACACAGCACUGUGCAAACACGAAAGUGGACGUAUACGGUGUGACGCCUGCCCGGUGCCGGAAGGUUAAUUGAUGGGGUCAGCGCAAGCGAAGCUCUUGAUCGAAGCCCCGGUAAACGGCGGCCGUAACUAUAACGGUCCUAAGGUAGCGAAAUUCCUUGUCGGGUAAGUUCCGACCUGCACGAAUGGCGUAAUGAUGG